GAUGAAAGAACGCAGCGAAAUGCGAUAAGUAGUGUGAAUUGCAGAAUUCAGUGAAUCAUCGAAUCUUUGAACGCACAUUGCGCCCUUUGGUAUUCCUUAGGGCAUGCCUGUUCGAGCGUCAUUUAAACCUUCAAGCUAAGCUUGGUGUUGGGUGACUGUCCGCUUCACGGCGGACUCGCCUCAAAAUUAUUGGCGGCCGGUACAUUGGCUUCGAGCGCAGCAGAAACACGAACUCGGGCCCGUCGUAUUGGCUCCCAGAAGCUAUCUUCACAAUUUUGACCUCGGAUCAGGUAGGGAUACCCGCUGAACUUAAGCAUAUCAAUAAGCGGAGGA
Molecule: unclassified non-coding RNA, 333 nt
Filed under: soil metagenome
Description: partial contains 5.8S ribosomal RNA, internal transcribed spacer 2, and large subunit ribosomal RNA
Rfam family: 5.8S ribosomal RNA (bases 6-121)
Source: RNAcentral